This 394-nucleotide unclassified non-coding RNA is filed under the name Hevea brasiliensis (rubber tree). Lineage: Eukaryota; Viridiplantae; Streptophyta; Magnoliopsida; Malpighiales; Euphorbiaceae. The record is from RNAcentral.
AGCUUCAUCAACGACAUCUUCGAGAAACUCGCUCAAGAGUCAUCUAAGUUGGCUCGCUACAACAAGAAACCUACCAUCACUUCUAGGGAGAUCCAAACGGCCGUCAGACUUGUUCUUCCCGGUGAGUUGGCCAAGCACGCUGUCUCUGAAGGAACCAAAGCGGUGACUAAGUUCACAAGUUCCUAAAUCCUGCGUUUGUCUUGAUGAAUUCCAAUAGGUUGUUUUAGGUGAAUGAAAUUGAACAAGAAAUUAGGGUUAGUAGCUCUGUUUUAAUUAUUACGAUGUGUUGGUGUAUUUGAUAUCUUUUGGAUUUGUCAAUUUCUUAUCAUAUAUAGAUGCUUAAGAGAUCUGUAAAUGCUUCUUUUUAUGUGCCGUUAAUGGAAGUGAUUUUGUU